GAUGAAGAACGCAGCGAAAUGCGAUAAGUAAUGUGAAUUGCAGAAUUCAGUGAAUCAUCGAAUCUUUGAACGCACAUUGCGCCCGCUAGUAUUCUGGCGGGCAUGCCUGUCCGAGCGUCAUUUCAACCCUCAAGCCCCUCCGGGGGCCUGGCGUUGGGGAUCGGCCCGCUCCGGCGGCCGGCCCCGAAAUGUAGUGGCGGUCUCGCCGCUGCCUCCUCUGCGUAGUAGAAACACCUCGCAUUGGGACGCGGCGGGCCCACGCCGUUAACCAGAUGAAUUUUUUCAAGGUUGACCUCGGAUCAGGUAGGAAUACCCGCUGAACUUAAGCAUAUCAAUAAGCGGAGGA
Molecule: unclassified non-coding RNA, 346 nt
Filed under: soil metagenome
Description: partial contains 5.8S ribosomal RNA, internal transcribed spacer 2, and large subunit ribosomal RNA
Rfam family: 5.8S ribosomal RNA (bases 1-120)
Source: RNAcentral